GACGAACGCUGGCGGCGUGCUUAACACAUGCAAGUCGAACGGAAAGGCCCUGCUUGCAGGGUACUCGAGUGGCGAACGGGUGAGUAACACGUGGGUGAUCUGCCCUGCACUUCGGGAUAAGCCUGGGAAACUGGGUCUAAUACCGGAUAGGAGCCAUUUUUAGUGUGAUGGUUGGAAAGUUUUUUCAGUGUAGGAUGAGCUCGCGGCCUAUCAGCUUGUUGGUGGGGUAAUGGCCUACCAAGGCGGCGACGGGUAGCCGGCCUGAGAGGGUGGACGGCCACAUUGGGACUGAGAUACGGCCCAGACUCCUACGGGAGGCAGCGGUGGGGAAUAUUGCACAAUGGGCGCAAGCCUGAUGCAGCGACGCCGCGUGGGGGAUGACGGCCUUCGGGUUGUAAACUCCUUUCGCUAGGGACGAAGCUUUUUGUGACGGUACCUAGAUAAGAAGCACCGGCUAACUACGUG
Molecule: ribosomal RNA, 465 nt
Filed under: uncultured bacterium
Lineage: Bacteria
Description: partial 16S ribosomal RNA
Rfam family: Bacterial small subunit ribosomal RNA
Source: RNAcentral